Molecule: ribosomal RNA, 528 nt
Filed under: Escherichia coli
Lineage: Bacteria; Pseudomonadati; Pseudomonadota; Gammaproteobacteria; Enterobacterales; Enterobacteriaceae
Description: bacterial SSU rRNA
Rfam family: Bacterial small subunit ribosomal RNA
Source: RNAcentral
UAAUACCGCAUAACGUCGCAAGACCAAAGAGGGGGACCUUCGGGCCUCUUGCCAUCGGAUGUGCCCAGAUGGGAUUAGCUAGUAGGUGGGGUAACGGCUCACCUAGGCGACGAUCCCUAGCUGGUCUGAGAGGAUGACCAGCCACACUGGAACUGAGACACGGUCCAGACUCCUACGGGAGGCAGCAGUGGGGAAUAUUGCACAAUGGGCGCAAGCCUGAUGCAGCCAUGCCGCGUGUAUGAAGAAGGCCUUCGGGUUGUAAAGUACUUUCAGCGGGGAGGAAGGGAGUAAAGUUAAUACCUUUGCUCAUUGACGUUACCCGCAGAAGAAGCACCGGCUAACUCCGUGCCAGCAGCCGCGGUAAUACGGAGGGUGCAAGCGUUAAUCGGAAUUACUGGGCGUAAAGCGCACGCAGGCGGUUUGUUAAGUCAGAUGUGAAAUCCCCGGGCUCAACCUGGGAACUGCAUCUGAUACUGGCAAGCUUGAGUCUCGUAGAGGGGGGUAGAAUUCCAGGUGUAGCGGUGAAAU